This is a regulatory RNA element of Streptomyces malaysiense, 47 nucleotides long. It matches the Rfam family "L31-Actinobacteria ribosomal protein leader". The record is from Rfam. NCBI's taxonomy places the organism in Bacteria, Bacillati, Actinomycetota, Actinomycetes, Kitasatosporales, Streptomycetaceae.
UCGGCCCCGGUUCACGUCUCCGCAGCCCGCGGCGGCGACCCGGCGCC